RNAcentral lists this ribosomal RNA (28 nucleotides) under Hypertelis cerviana. RNAcentral describes it as "partial 26S ribosomal RNA". The record is from RNAcentral. Lineage: Eukaryota; Viridiplantae; Streptophyta; Magnoliopsida; Caryophyllales; Molluginaceae.
UAUGUGACUCAUCACAGUCAUCACCGUU